CAGCAGCCGCGGUAAUUCCAGCUCCAAUAGCGUAUAUUAAAGUUGUUGUGGUUAAAAAGCUCGUAGUUGGAUUUCGGCGGGUAUUGGUCGGUUUGAAUUGCUUCAAUACUGACUUUUUUACCCGUGUGUUUUGCCAGAAUUUAACGGGUGAUCUUCGCCGAUUGUCUGUUAGAACUGGCAGGUUUACUUUGAAAAAAUUAGAGUGCUCAAAGCAAGCUUGAUUGCUUGAAUAUUCGUGCAUGGAAUAAUGAAAUAGGAAGUCGUUUCUAUUUUGUUGGUUUUCGGAAAUCGACUUAAUGAUUAAUAGGGACAGUCGGGGGCAUUUGUAUUCAAACGACAGAGGUGAAAUUCUUGGACCGUUUGAAGACAAACUACUGCGAAAGCAUUUGCCAAGAAUGUUUUCAUUAAUCAAGAACGAAAGUUAGAGGUUCGAAGGCGAUUAGAUACCGCCCUAGUUCUAACCAUAAACGAUGCCAGCUAGCGAUCUGACGGCGUUUUAUUUUUGACUUGUCAGGGAGCUUCCGGGAAACCAAAGCUUGUGGGUUCCAGGGGAAGUAUGGUUGCAAAGCUGAAACUUAAAGGAAUUGACGGAAGGGCACCACCAGGAGUGGAGCCUGUGGCUUAAUUUGACUCAACACGGG
RNAcentral lists this ribosomal RNA (641 nucleotides) under Temora turbinata. Its description in RNAcentral is "SSU rRNA". It matches the Rfam family "Eukaryotic small subunit ribosomal RNA", at positions 568 to 1209 of the family's 1831-position model. Lineage: Eukaryota; Metazoa; Arthropoda; Copepoda; Calanoida; Temoridae. The record is from RNAcentral.